Molecule: ribosomal RNA, 464 nt
Filed under: uncultured bacterium
Lineage: Bacteria
Description: partial 16S ribosomal RNA
Rfam family: Bacterial small subunit ribosomal RNA
Source: RNAcentral
CUACGGGGUGCUGCAGUGGGGAAUAUUGCACAAUGGGCGCAAGCCUGAUGCAGCCAUGCCGCGUGUAUGAAGAAGGCCUUCGGGUUGUAAAGUACUUUCAGCGGGGAGGAAGGGAGUAAAGUUAAUACCUUUGCUCAUUGACGUUACCCGCAGAAGAAGCACCGGCUAACUCCGUGCCAGCAGCCGCGGUAAUACGGAGGGUGCAAUCGUUAAUCGGAAUUACUGGGCGUAAAGCGCACGCAGGCGGUUUGUUAAGUCAGAUGUGAAAUCCCCGGGCUCAACCUGGGAACUGCAUCUGAUACUGGCAAGCUUGAGUCUCGUAGAGGGGGGUAGAAUUCUAGGUGUAGCGGUGAAAUGCGUAGAGAUCUGGAGGAAUACCGGUGGCGAAGGCGGCCCCCUGGACGAAGACUGACGCUCAGGUGCGAAAGCGUGGGGAGCAAACAGGAUUAGAUACCCGGGUAGUC